This 508-nucleotide ribosomal RNA is filed under the name uncultured Glomus. RNAcentral's name for it is "SSU rRNA". It matches the Rfam family "Eukaryotic small subunit ribosomal RNA", at positions 569 to 1078 of the family's 1831-position model. Lineage: Eukaryota; Fungi; Glomeromycota; Glomeromycetes; Glomerales; Glomeraceae. The record is from RNAcentral.
AGCAGCCGCGGUAAUUCCAGCUCCAAUAGCGUAUAUUAAAGUUGUUGCAGUUAAAAAGCUCGUAGUUGAAUUUCGGGGUCAGUAGGUUGGUCGUGCCACCGGUACGUACUGGUCUCACUGAUUCCUCCUUCCUGAUGAGCUGUAAUGCCAUUAAUUUGGUGUUGCAGGGAAUCUGGACUGUUACUUUGAAAAAAUUAGAGUGUUUAAAGCAGGCUAACGCUUGAAUACAUUAGCAUGGAAUAAUGAAAUAGGACGUUCGAUCCUAUUUUGUUGGUUUCUAGGAUUGACGUAAUGAUUAAUAGGGAUAGUUGGGGGCAUUAGUAUUCAAUUGUCAGAGGUGAAAUUCUUGGAUUUAUUGAAGACUAACUACCGCGAAAGCAUUUGCCAAGGAUGUUUUCAUUAAUCAAGAACGAAAGUUAGGGGAUCGAAGACGAUCAGAUACCGUCGUAGUCUUAACCAUAAACUAUGCCGACUAGGGAUCGGAUGAUGUUAAUUUUUUAAUGACUCA